This 245-nucleotide ribosomal RNA is filed under the name uncultured bacterium. RNAcentral describes it as "partial 16S ribosomal RNA". It matches the Rfam family "Bacterial small subunit ribosomal RNA", at positions 524 to 768 of the family's 1533-position model. The record is from RNAcentral.
UACGGAGGAUGCAAGCGUUAUCCGGAUUCAUUGGGUUUAAAGGGUGCGCAGGCGGAGUGAUAAGUCAGUGGUGAAAUCCUACGGCUCAACUGUAGAACUGCCAUUGAUACUGUCAUUCUUGAGUACUGUUGAGGUGGGCGGAAUGUGUCAUGUAGCGGUGAAAUGCUUAGAUAUGACACAGAACACCGAUCGCGAAGGCAGCUCACCAAGCAGAAACUGACGCUCAUGCACGAAAGCGUGGGGAU